Molecule: long non-coding RNA, 2864 nt
Organism: Osmerus eperlanus (European smelt)
Lineage: Eukaryota; Metazoa; Chordata; Actinopteri; Osmeriformes; Osmeridae
Exons: 2
Source: RefSeq, a predicted model, not a curated record
GUCUGAAUCAGUUCUGUGUUGUCGAUAGUAAAUGUAACAAAUACGUCUUUAAAUACCAAUUGCUUUUCGUAGUUGCAGCUUAAAUAUUACAAGUCAUUUGCAUUACUCAACACCGUACUUAAUGUAAGUACCAAAGACUUAACACGAUAACAUCUCAGAUAAUGUUUGUUACUUACAUUUCAAAACAGUGAGACGUCAGGAUAAUAGGCGGGCCUAGGGCAACGUUAAUGGGGGAAAUAUUUUUUUUCUACCGACGGAGCAGCCCCUCUCGGUAGUUUAUAGCCAUUUAACCUAUUUAUUUAUUACAGAAUAAUGCAGAUUAGUACAUUUAUGGUAUUUGUAAAGGCGUAUUUAAUGUUCACAAUACAUGCAAAUAUAAUAUGAACACAGUCUUAACUAUCCAAUUACAUUUAUCAGUCCUGGCAGAUGAUCACCACCCAGUCUUUGUCCAGGCUACAGCCCCAAACGGCGUCUUUAAGUAGCCAGCAUAUGGACCUCCUAUCUCCCCCUUCUCAGAUGCCAGAGAGUCUCAUUGAUAGAGCUGAGUUGUGGCUGUGUUAGAUGGAUGAUCAUCCGGUAUGGUUAGAGGAUAUCCCUUCUGCUACCUCACCUAGCAAGCUAGUAGAUCUCACCUCAGUAGACAGGAAGAGGCUGGUGACACCACAAUAUCUCCACGGGCUGGUGGGGGUGGGCUUGGAAGAACCGAGCUCCAUGUCUGGUCUCUCUAGCGGAGCUUGAACGUUAUCUCCCUCCUCCAUGCUCCACCAAUUAUCCCAGUUUGAAAGAGACGUUUUUUAAAUGAGGCAGUUAACUGUGCAGAUGCAAUUUGCCUCGUUCGUAGAGUGUGUGUGUGUGUGUGUGUGGAGGGAUACUAGCUGAAAAGAGGGUGCCACACCAGCUGCCAGACAGACACCCAGAGCUCAUUAGUAUGCAACGGCUUAAUCAGGGAGCUGUCAUCAGAGACACAGCGAUCUCAUCAGGACAUUAAAGCAGCCAGGGGGGUUCAGCACACGCACACACCUACACACACUGAGAGAGAGAGAGAGCGAGAGAGAGCUGUAAGGAGGUUAUGCUUGUCCUUUGUACACUAUAGGCAAAUCUGUCCUGAUUGCCCUACAGAAGGCCCUGGCACCGGAAAACAGCCUGAGUUGAAGCUACAGGGACAUGACUGAAUUUGACUUCCUGCCAUCCUGACUACACACACACACAAACACACACACACACACAUACAGUUAUGGUGCUGUGGCUCAUAGAAGACUCUGGUAAUACGGCUGACAGACGAGAUUAUAGGAUUCCUUUGUCUGCCAUGUUAGUAGUAUUAGUAUCAUGUCUGAGGACAUUGAGUCAGAGCUGGUCUUGUAUUUAGUGGGUCAGUCAUAAGGUCCUUUUAUCUUAGUCACAUAACAUUUACUCCUAAAGGAAGCCACAGUCACAGAACUCAGGAGGGCAGGGGGAAUAAGUAAAUGUGAGGAGGUGAGGGAGCAGAGAGGGAGGGAGAGGCAGCUGUGUAGGAGAUUGCGUGCGGACAGCAGUUAAAGGAUGAAGAUGAAUGUUUUAUGAAGCUGAGCUUCAGCAACGCCAGAACAGCAGACUCACUGGAAGCACAUUGUUCAGCCAGCGAUCAAGCACACCAAUCACAAGAGCCCAUUCGGAUUUUGACUCAUUAUGAGAGAGGGUGAGAGGACGAGGGAGAGAGGAGAUGUUUAUGUGCCCGUAGAGGCCACAGCACAAGAUCACAUCCUCACGGCUGUCUCUUUCAUUUGACAACAGCUGACAAGUUAUUGAGCUAUCAGAGGGGUUUAAAACAAAACAAAGCCACUACACAAAGCCAAAAACAUAUUCCGCAGCCGAGUACUGGGAGCAAAUUGUAUUUGACCUUCCCCUGCGAGCACACAAACACGCACACAGCGCAGUACAAUACACACACCCACACAGCACAACACCCACCCACACACAUACACCACCUGCCCAUUAAUCUGAGUGCUCUGACUCAUCAAGCCCAGGAGGAAAGCAGUAGCUUGUAUCAGAGUAUAACGUUUCCACCAGUUAGCCUACAAUGUUUUUUGUUUGUGGAGGUGGGUUCGUGGGUGAUCUGACUCAGGCUUUUUCCUUCACCUUUACAAAUACACGCACACACACACACACACACACACACACAUAGAGAAAAGCAUCCUCAUUCCUUCUCACUAGACCAUGAUGGUGUUAAUGUUGGAGCCAGGGUGCGUGGUGUGUGUGUGAGAAUGGGGGGGGCUUAGGAAGUGUUAUAAACCACAGGAGAGUGAGAGCCAUCUGUUACAAACUCACUGUCCCACACAUGCACACAAACAUUCACACACACAUGCACACACACCUUGCCACACAGAGUAAAAGUGACAUGUUCAAGCAGAGAGAGACAUUAAUCAAGUUGGAUUCUUUCCCACAUGCAGCACGCAGAACUUGCUGACAGGGAGCACAUACACAUACGCACACACCAGGUGUCUGAUCUGUUGGGGCUCUGGGUACUUGGAACAGUGUGUUACUCAUCUCACUGUUAUCUCUUGGUAGUGUCAUCUUCUAGGAAAUACAUAGACUGGGGACGGGAGUAGGAAAUACAUAAAUGGAAUGGAAUAUUGUAUUCUUGUAAGAGACAGUUUUGCAUAGCACCAGUCCAAUAAUGAACAAAACAAAGAAACGAGUUGGCCCAUUGAUCUUCCAGGACUGCAGGAUGUGUCACAGACAGACAAAUAGUUCAAAAGAUAGAAAGAUAAGAGACUGUGUUUUUCCUUAACCUCAUCUUUGAUUUCUAAGUGCGACUCCAUUCAUUUGUUCCAAAACUGUUGGCCUUGUUGACUAUCGAUCUGGAUAUCUCUUCACAUAUACACACA